ACGCUAGCGGCAGGCUUAAUACAUGCAAGUCGUGGGGCAGCAGGGGCGUAGCAAUACGCUCGCUGGCGACCGGCAAACGGGUGUGGAACACGUACACAACCUUCCUUUAAGUGGGGAAUAGCCCGGGGAAACCCGGAUUAAUACCCCGUAACAUAGUGAAAAGGCAUCUUUUUACUAUUAUAGCAGCAAUGCGCUUGAUGAUGGGUGUGCGCCUGAUUAGGCAGUUGGCGGGGUAACGGCCCACCAAACCUACGAUCAGUAACUGGUGUGAGAGCACGACCAGUCACACGGGCACUGAGACACGGGCCCGACUCCUACGGGAGGCAGCAGUAAGGAAUAUUGGUCAAUGGACGCAAGUCUGAACCAGCCAUGCCGCGUGGAGGAUGAAGGUCCUCUGGAUUGUAAACUUCUUUUAUCUGGGAAGAAACCCACGAAUUCUUUUGUGGUUGACGGUACCAGAUGAAUAAGCACCGGCUAACUCCGUGCCAGCAGCCGCGGUAAUACGGAGGGUGCAAGCGUUAUCCGGAUUCACUGGGUUUAAAGGGUGCGUAGGUGGGCAGGUAAGUCAGUGGUGAAAUCUCCGGGCUUAACUCGGAAACUGCCAUUGAUACUAUCUGUCUUGAAUACCGUGGA
Molecule: ribosomal RNA, 633 nt
Filed under: uncultured soil bacterium
Lineage: Bacteria
Description: bacterial SSU rRNA
Rfam family: Bacterial small subunit ribosomal RNA
Source: RNAcentral